GACGAACCGUGCGAACGUUGUUCGGAAUCACUGGGCUUAAAGGGCGCGUAGGCGGACCGUCAAGUCAGGGGUGAAAUCCCACGGCUCAACCGUGGAAGUGCCUUUGAUACUGACGGUCUCGAGGGAGGUAGGGGCGUGCGGAACUUCCGGUGGAGCGGUGAAAUGCGUAGAUAUCGGAAGGAACGCCGGUGGCGAAAGCGGCGCGCUGGACCUCUUCUGACGCUGAGGCGCGAAAGCCAGGGGAGCAAACGGG
This 253-nucleotide ribosomal RNA is filed under the name uncultured bacterium. RNAcentral's name for it is "partial 16S ribosomal RNA". It matches the Rfam family "Bacterial small subunit ribosomal RNA", at positions 524 to 776 of the family's 1533-position model. The record is from RNAcentral.